GCGUCUGAUUAGCUGGUUGGUGAGGUAACGGCCCACCAAGGCGACGAUCAGUAGCCGACCUGAGAGGGUGGCCGGCCACAUUGGGACUGAGACACGGCCCAAACUCCUACGGGAGGCAGCAGUGGGGAAUAUUGGUCAAUGGCCGCAGGGCUGAACCAGCCAAGUCGCGUGAGGGAUGACGGUCCUAUGGAUUGUAAACCUCUUUUGUCAGGGAGCAAAGGGCGCCACGUGUGGCGUUUUGCGAGUACCUGAAGAAAAAGCAUCGGCUAACUCCGUGCCAGCAGCCGCGGUAAUACGGAGGAUGCGAGCGUUAUCCGGAUUUAUUGGGUUUAAAGGGUGCGCAGGCGGAAUGUCAAGUCAGCGGUAAAAUUUCGGGGCUCAACCCCGUCGUGCCGUUGAAACUGGCGUUCUUGAGUGAGCGAGAAGUAUGCGGAAUGCGUGGUGUAGCGGUGAAAUGUAUAGAUAUCACGCAGAACUCCGAUUGCGAAGGCAGCAUACCGGCGCUCAACUGACGCUCAUGCACGAAAGCGUGGGUAUCGAACAGGAUUAGAUACCCUGGUAGUCCACGCAGUAAACGAUGAAUACUAACUGUCCGGGCAGAAUGAUUAACAGGGGGGUGCAGCGAAAAGAGUUAUGUAUUCCACAUGGGGAGUACGCCGGCAACGGUGAAACUCAAAGGAAUUGACGGGGGCCCGCACAGGCGGAGGAACAUGUGGUUUAAUUCGAUGAUACGCGAGGAACCUUACCCGGGCUCAAACGACGGAUGGAUGUUUCUGAAAGGAGGCAGUCCUACGGGACAUCCGUCGAGGUGCUGCAUGGUUGUCGUCAGCUCGUGCCGUGAGGUGUCGGCUUAAGUGCCAUAACGAGCGCAACCCCCAUCGCCAGUUACCAGCAAGUAAAGUUGGGGACUCUGGCGAGACUGCCGGCGCAAGCUGUGAGGAAGGCGGGGAUGACGUCAAAUCAGCACGGCCCUUACGUCCGGGGCGACACACGUGUUACAAUGGCAGGUACAGAGAGAAGCGAUGCGGCGACGCAGAGCGGAACUUCAAAGCCUGUCUCAGUUCGGAUUGGAGUCUGCAACCCGACUCCAUGAAGCUGGAUUCGCUAGUAAUCGCGCAUCAGCCACGGCGCGGUGAAUAAAAUCCCCGGGCCUUGCACACACCGCCCGUCAAG
RNAcentral lists this ribosomal RNA (1173 nucleotides) under uncultured bacterium. RNAcentral's name for it is "bacterial SSU rRNA". It matches the Rfam family "Bacterial small subunit ribosomal RNA", at positions 233 to 1401 of the family's 1533-position model. The record is from RNAcentral.